RNAcentral lists this ribosomal RNA (541 nucleotides) under Bifidobacterium longum. RNAcentral's name for it is "bacterial SSU rRNA". It matches the Rfam family "Bacterial small subunit ribosomal RNA", at positions 158 to 714 of the family's 1533-position model. Lineage: Bacteria; Bacillati; Actinomycetota; Actinomycetes; Bifidobacteriales; Bifidobacteriaceae. The record is from RNAcentral.
GGGUGGUAAUGCCGGAUGCUCCAGUUGAUCGCAUGGUCUUCUGGGAAAGCUUUCGCGGUAUGGGAUGGGGUCGCGUCCUAUCAGCUUGACGGCGGGGUAACGGCCCACCGUGGCUUCGACGGGUAGCCGGCCUGAGAGGGCGACCGGCCACAUUGGGACUGAGAUACGGCCCAGACUCCUACGGGAGGCAGCAGUGGGGAAUAUUGCACAAUGGGCGCAAGCCUGAUGCAGCGACGCCGCGUGAGGGAUGGAGGCCUUCGGGUUGUAAACCUCUUUUAUCGGGGAGCAAGCGAGAGUGAGUUUACCCGUUGAAUAAGCACCGGCUAACUACGUGCCAGCAGCCGCGGUAAUACGUAGGGUGCAAGCGUUAUCCGGAAUUAUUGGGCGUAAAGGGCUCGUAGGCGGUUCGUCGCGUCCGGUGUGAAAGUCCAUCGCUUAACGGUGGAUCCGCGCCGGGUACGGGCGGGCUUGAGUGCGGUAGGGGAGACUGGAAUUCCCGGUGUAACGGUGGAAUGUGUAGAUAUCGGAAAGAACACCACCC